AAACAUCUGAGUGCCUAAAGAGUCUACAUUACUCAGGCUAGGUGACAUUCACUUUACCAAUAAGGAGCUUGAAAAGAGGAUAGCAGGCUUUUGGGAUGAAAAAAUGUGGGGGAUUCUCCAGGAUUCUACAAGGAAUUUGCCCAGAAAUGUAAGCUGAUAACACAAAGGGUUUGAAACUGUACCUGCAUUGACUGUUUGGAUCAAGUUGGACAUGCCAUGCUCUACUCCUGUGUGGGCUAUCUCCAUUAGCAGUGUGUACAGCCAGCAUCCUGGCCAAUGUCACUUCCUGAUUUGCUUGAUCACUUGUUCAUCUAUUUUGGCUAUAACAACUACCCCACUGUUGAAAGAAUGUGCCUGGAAUUCAAAAGCUGAAGACCUCAGAAUAAUACAAACAGCUUUCACAAAACAGUCAACAGUGAGGAGGCUUUCAAAAUGCAGGAACUCCAUCCUAACCUGCACUGUGCCCCACCCAAGCAAAAACAGAACAAAGCCUCUAAGAAAGAAUUUGCACAAGGAAUUAAAAUUUCCCUUCAGAAGCUCAGCAUGUGUUUUUAAUAUCUCUCAGUGUAAGAUGUACAUAUUUGUCCAAUGAGUUACAACACCUGUCCCGUUCUCCGGAAUUACUUUGCAUUCCAUUUUAUAUGCAGUUCAAGUCCUUGAAUUUUCUCUAGAUGGAAAAAAAAUAAACGUAGCUAAAAAUAAACUAACA
Crocodylus porosus (Australian saltwater crocodile) is the source of this 709-nucleotide long non-coding RNA. Lineage: Eukaryota; Metazoa; Chordata; Crocodylia; Crocodylidae. The record is from Ensembl.